Molecule: long non-coding RNA, 1372 nt
Filed under: Sus scrofa (pig)
Lineage: Eukaryota; Metazoa; Chordata; Mammalia; Artiodactyla; Suidae
Description: lncRNA (ENSSSCG00030012434.1)
Source: RNAcentral
UGUGACAAACUAUUAAGCAACACCAUCCUUAGACCCAGGCGAGGGCAGUCUCUGCCGUUGCUUAGCAGGGCCCUAAUCUGUCCUUCUUGAAGUCGCAGUCCUGGCCCACAGAUGACUGAAAUGACCAAAGAACUAGAAAAAAAUCCUUGCAUACCCACCUGCCAUAGUGUCCUAGAGCUGCCAUAACAAAGCACCGCACAUUGGGUGGUUACAGCAACAGAAAUUUAUUCUCUCCCAGUUCCAGAAGUUGGAAGUCAAGGUAUCAGUCGGGCCAGGCUCCCCCAGAGGCUGCAGGGGAGAAUCCUCCUUCACCACUUCCAGCUCCUGAAGGCUGCGGGCAAGGCUUGCAUUGCUCAACUCCUAUGCAGCUUCCCCCUUCCAGUCUCUGCCUUCAUCUUCACAUGGGCUUCUUCCUUCUGAGUGUAUCUCGGUGUAGUCUCUCCUCGUCUUAGAAGGACAGCAGUCACUGGACUUAGGGCGCACCAUACCCCUGUAUGAUAUCCUCUCAACAGUUACAUCUGCAAACACCCCAUUUCCAGUUAAGGUCACAUCCUGAGGUUCCUGGUGGAUGUGGAGUUUGGGGAGACAUUAUUCAACCCUGUACAAAGACUCUUGUUUUUUGUUUCUGUCUCUGUUUCUUUGUCUCUGUCAUUCUCUCUUCUUUGCAGGAUGAGUUAGCUUUGUAAAAAUUAAUUGGGACACUUUUAAAUUUUUUAUACCCUGAAAACAAUUCGAUCAUAUAGAAAUUCUCUCUUCCUUUAAGGUUUGACAGAAUUUGCCCAACGCCUCCCCCAAAUUGCCUAAGUUCACGUUUCAUCAAAGUCUUGCAGAGUUCUUUAUCAGCUGCUUCUGUGACUUUUCAUCUUGUUGAAUUUUUCUGCCUAUUCUUGAGUGGAUUAUAUUGUCUUAUUUUGGUUAAUAUUUUAUUAGCAUAAAUUUAAACACAGUGUGCUUUUAGCUUGAAUCCUCUUUCAUGUCUUUGUCUCUCAUCCCUUUUAUAUUUCUAGAGCUGUUUAUUUGCAUUUUUUUCUUUUUUUUCCUCAUGCAAACUUGCCAGAGGUUUGUCUCAUUUAUUGGUCUUUUUUUUUUUUUUUUUUUUUUUUUUUUUUUUUGCGCAUGGUUCCUAGUCGGAUUCGUUUCCACUGUGCCACGAUGGGAACUCCUUAUUGAUCUUUUAAAAGAGUUAGCUCUUUGAUUUGUCUUAUCAAUUCUAUUGUUUUCUGUUUUCUAAUUUGCUUUUGUCUGCUUUUCUCUUUCCUUCUUUCCUUCUGCCACCCUUAGAUUUAUUUUAUUAGUUUUUAAUCUCAGUUGUUUAGUUAAUUGCUUUUUUAUUCAUUUUUAUCUUAUAACAAAACCACUUAGCUUUAUCUUU